UGGGAAGUCAAGGCUGACACUGUCCAAAGC
This 30-nucleotide non-coding RNA is filed under the name Rattus norvegicus (Norway rat). The record is from RNAcentral. Lineage: Eukaryota; Metazoa; Chordata; Mammalia; Rodentia; Muridae.